AGUGAGCGCUGGCGGUAGGCCUAACACAUGCAAGUCGAACGGCAGCACAGUAAGAGCUUGCUCUUACGGGUGGCGAGUGGCGGACGGGUGAGGAAUACAUCGGACUCUACUUUUUCGUGGGGGAUAACGUAGGUAAACUUACGCUAAUACCGCAUACGACCUACGGGUGAAAGCAGGGGAUCUUCUGACCUUGCGCGAUUGAAUGAGCCGAUGUCGGAUUAGCUAGUUGGCGGGGUAAAGGCCCACCAAGGCGCCGAUCCGUAGCUGGUCUGAGAGGAUGAUCAGCCACACUGGAACUGAGACACGGUACAGACUCCUACGGGAGGCAGCAGUGGGGAAGAUUGGACAAUGGGCGCAAGCCUGAUCCAGCCAUACCGCGUGGGUGAAGAAGGCCUUCGGGUUGUAAAGCCCUUUUGUUGGGAAAGAAAAGCAGCAGGUUAAUACCACGCUGUUCUGACGGUACCCAAAGAAUAAGCACCGGCUAACUUCGU
RNAcentral lists this ribosomal RNA (491 nucleotides) under uncultured bacterium. RNAcentral's name for it is "partial 16S ribosomal RNA". It matches the Rfam family "Bacterial small subunit ribosomal RNA", at positions 29 to 506 of the family's 1533-position model. The record is from RNAcentral.